AUGGGCUAGGAAAUGGAUACUGAGUGAGUAGCUGGGCCUACCAGGAUCCAGUUUUGCACCAGUUAGCCUGACCUUUCCCUAAUGACCUGGCCCACACCUUUCUGGGGGAUGCCUUAUGCAGUAGCAGAUGUGACCAUUGUACUAGUGACCGAUGUCAUGUAUGAUAGAUACUGCAUGCAAUU
This is a non-coding RNA of Hemicordylus capensis (graceful crag lizard), 182 nucleotides long. RefSeq annotates it as small Cajal body-specific RNA 16. The record is from RefSeq and is a predicted model, not a curated record. NCBI's taxonomy places the organism in Eukaryota, Metazoa, Chordata, Lepidosauria, Squamata, Cordylidae. The transcript has a single exon.